GUAGGGUGCGAGCGUUAAUCGGAAUUACUGGGCGUAAAGCGUGCGCAGGCGGUUCGCCAAGUCAGGUGUGAAAUCCCCGGGCUUAACCUGGGAAUUGCGCUUGAAACUAGCGGGCUUGAGUGUGGCAGAGGGGGGUGGAAUUCCACGUGUAGCAGUGAAAUGCGUAGAGAUGUGGAGGAACACCGAUGGCGAAGGCAGCCCCCUGGGUCAACACUGACGCUCAUGCACGAAAGCGUGGGGAGCAAACAGGAUUAGAUACCCUGGUAGUCCACGCCGUAAACGAUGUCGAUUUGGAGGCUGUGUCCUUGAGACGUGGCUUCCGGAGCUAACGCGUUAAAUCGACCGCCUGGGGAGUACGGCCGCAAGGUUA
RNAcentral lists this ribosomal RNA (370 nucleotides) under uncultured bacterium. RNAcentral describes it as "bacterial SSU rRNA". It matches the Rfam family "Bacterial small subunit ribosomal RNA", at positions 527 to 896 of the family's 1533-position model. The record is from RNAcentral.